UCUGGAUCAGCUAAAUCAGGGGUAGCCAACGCGGUGCCCGCGGGCACUAAGUCGCCCGCAGGGGGGAAAUUGGUCGCCCGCGUGCAUGUUCUAAAAAUAGCACAAGUCACCAUGGAGCUCCGUC
Long non-coding RNA from Notothenia coriiceps (black rockcod), 124 nucleotides. RefSeq lists it as uncharacterized. The transcript is spliced from 3 exons. Lineage: Eukaryota; Metazoa; Chordata; Actinopteri; Perciformes; Nototheniidae. The record is from RefSeq and is a predicted model, not a curated record.